GACGAACGCUGGCGGCGUGCUUAACACAUGCAAGUCGAACGGAAAGGCCCUGCUUUUGUGGGGUGCUCGAGUGGCGAACGGGUGAGUAACACGUGAAUAACCUGCCCUUGACUUUGGGAUAACUUCAGGAAACUGGGGCUAAUACCGGAUAGGAGCUGCUGCUGCAUGGUGGGGGUUGGAAAGUUUCGGCGGUUGGGGAUGGACUCGCGGCUUAUCAGCUUGUUGGUGGGGUAGUGGCUUACCAAGGCUUUGACGGGUAGCCGGCCUGAGAGGGUGACCGGCCACAUUGGGACUGAGAUACGGCCCAGACUCCUACGGGAGGCAGCAGUGGGGAAUAUUGCACAAUGGGCGGAAGCCUGAUGCAGCAACGCCGCGUGCGGGAUGACGGCCUUCGGGUUGUAAACCGCUUUCGCCUGUGACGAAGCGUGAGUGACGGUAAUGGGUAAAGAAGCACCGGCUAACUACGUG
This 468-nucleotide ribosomal RNA is filed under the name uncultured bacterium. Its description in RNAcentral is "partial 16S ribosomal RNA". It matches the Rfam family "Bacterial small subunit ribosomal RNA", at positions 28 to 507 of the family's 1533-position model. The record is from RNAcentral.